GAAAUGCGAUAAGUAAUGUGAAUUGCAGAAUUCAGUGAAUCAUCGAAUCUUUGAACGCACAUUGCGCCCGCCAGUAUUCUGACGGGCAUGCCUGUCCGAGCGUCAUUUCAACCAUCAAGCCCCCGGGCUUGUGUUGGGGACCUGCGGCUGCCCGCAGGCCCUGAAAACCAGUGGCGGGCUCGCUGUCACACCGAGCGUAGUAGCAAUCACCUCGCUCAGGGCGUGCUGCGGGUUCCGGCCGUUAAACAGCCUUACAAAACCCAAGGUUGACCUCGGAUCAGGUAGGAAGACCCGCUGAACUUAAGC
Molecule: unclassified non-coding RNA, 306 nt
Filed under: plant metagenome
Description: partial contains 5.8S ribosomal RNA, internal transcribed spacer 2, and large subunit ribosomal RNA
Rfam family: 5.8S ribosomal RNA (bases 1-105)
Source: RNAcentral